UCUCUGUAUUUUGGGGUGGGGCUUCAAAGGUUUGAGAAGAGAUGGUAUAUUCAAAACUAGACAGAGGAGGAUGCUUUUUUAGUAUACACAGAUCUUGAUGUGCUGUGUGUUAUCAAACUUCCAGUUUCAGCCACAAUGUCAAUCCCCACAUUUAUUUUGCUUUUAGUAGUUGCAUGUGACAGUAAUGGUCAGACCAUUGAGCCAAUCAGAGAGGAGGUGUAUGCUCCAGCAGGUAGUAAUAUUACACUUUCAUGCACCUACUCAUCUGCAGUCUCUCUUCAAUGGUAUCUCCAGAACCCUGGAUCAGCUCCUCAGUAUAUCCUGCUUAUCCUGCAUGGUGUUGGGUCUCCAUCACGGGCUCCAGGUCUGGAUCCUCGACUGUCAGUCAAACUAAAUCAUGAGAAGAACCGUGUGGAUCUAGAGAUCUCCUCUGCUGAAGAGGAAGACUCUGCUAUGUACUACUGUGCACUGAUGCCCACAGUGAAAGGAAACCUACAAGCGCUGUACAAAAACCUAACCUGACACAUUCUAUACGUACAUGACAUGACCUACAGGUAAUGAUGCAUCUCAAGGUUUUUCUUUUUGACAGGAAACCUGGUGGGUGUGUUUAAAAACCAACAAUAUGUGAAGAGGAGGAGCAACAUUGUAAAUGCCUACUUAUUAUUUCAGAGUCAUAGCAGUGUUUUGGCUUUGCUGUUUUCUAAAAUAUACAUUAAUGUCUGAUCUGUAACAUAGAUAAAAUAUCAGACAGGGAAGGAGAUAUUAAUGAUAAUCUGAGUAUAAGAUAAUGUUUUGGGAUUUUCACCCUCCAGACAUUAUUUCCUAAAGGACUUAAUGAUGAAAUGCCUAUGUAUGUUAUGUUGUGAAUUUGAACAUGAAAUAUGUGUCUCUUGUAGAUUAUUCUGACCUUUUUCGUAAGAUGUACCCUAUGACUAAUGAAAACUUGCUAUGUCCUCAUUGAGAUUUUACAGACGUGUUUAAUAUGCCUUAUUUAUACACUUUUGUAAUAAUUAUGAAAUGCAUAUUGUUAUAUUUGGUAGCACUUAUUUAUUUUUCCUUUGCCUCCAACCCCCUUCGAUGUGUAGAACGGAUGUGGGUGGGGCCAGGUCCACAUAAUGGUGCAACUUUCAAAAAAUCCCCAAACCUCUGACGAAGGCCGUGUGGCCGAUACGUAAGCUUAUUAAAGAUAGGUGAUACUAUCAAGAGCAGUGUGCUGUUUCCUUUUUCCUUCAUCUUGUUCAAUUGUUGCCAUGCACCUGCAAAUUAGAUUGCUCAGAUGUGCGAGUGCCUUUUGAAUUUUGAUCUGUAACAUAGACCAUGAUGCUACUCUGUUAUAUUCUACUGAUUUCAGCCCUUGUAGGUGAUACUUUAGAGGAUGAUAUUACUCCAACCAGUCCUGAGGAGUAUUAUUUAGAGGGUAGUAGAGUUAAGAUCUCCUGUAACUAUAAAGUAAUAGCAGAUAUUCUGCUGUGCUAUAGACAUUAUUCUGGAUCAGGUCUCCAAUUCCUUUACCUCAUAACAACUAUUAAUAAUCCAUAUGAAUUGAGAGUUGAUCCACAAGACAUUCUACUGUCUG
This is a long non-coding RNA of Oncorhynchus tshawytscha (Chinook salmon), 1576 nucleotides long. Lineage: Eukaryota; Metazoa; Chordata; Actinopteri; Salmoniformes; Salmonidae. The record is from Ensembl.